This 251-nucleotide long non-coding RNA is filed under the name Capsella rubella. RNAcentral describes it as "long non-coding RNA (CRUB_LNC004156)". Lineage: Eukaryota; Viridiplantae; Streptophyta; Magnoliopsida; Brassicales; Brassicaceae. The record is from RNAcentral.
UUUCUAGUUUUUAUUCCAAAUAAUGAAAUAUGUCUUUUUGCAAAUUUCAAGACACAAGCAACAUAUCUAAUUUGGUUUACAAAAAAAAAAAAAAAAAAAAAAAAAAAAAGCAACAUAUCUAAUUUUUGUGUUUCUUUUUUAGAACAGAUUCCUUAAAUUCCAAAAGGCUUCAAAGUAGCGGAUCAGUGGAUCUGUUAGGAUCGUAAAAUGCUAUUCUCAGAGGUAUGUGGUUACCAGGUUAUUUGAGGCAG